AGUGAACGCUGGCGGUAGGCCUAACACAUGCAAGUCGAACGGCAGCACAGUAAGAGCUUGCUCUUACGGGUGGCGAGUGGCGGACGGGUGAGGAAUACAUCGGAAUCUACUUUUUCGUGGGGGAUAACGUAGGGAAACUUACGCUAAUACCGCAUACGACCUACGGGUGAAAGCAGGGGAUCUUCGGACCUUGCGCGAUUGAAUGAGCCGAUGUCGGAUUAGCUAGUUGGCGGGGUAAAGGCCCACCAAGGCGACGAUCCGUAGCUGGUCUGAGAGGAUGAUCGGCCACACUGGAACUGAGACACGGUCCAGACUCCUACGGGAGGCAGCAGUGGGGAAUAUUGGACAAUGGGCGCAAGCCUGAUCCAGCCAUACCGCGUGGGUGAAGAAGGCCUUCGGGUUGUAAAGCCCUUUUGUUGGGAAAGAAAAGCAGCAGGUUAAUACCCCGCUGUUCUGACGGUACCCAAAGAAUAAGCACCGGCUAACUUCGUGC
This 493-nucleotide ribosomal RNA is filed under the name uncultured bacterium. Its description in RNAcentral is "partial 16S ribosomal RNA". It matches the Rfam family "Bacterial small subunit ribosomal RNA", at positions 29 to 508 of the family's 1533-position model. The record is from RNAcentral.